GGGGAAUCUUCCGCAAUGGACGAAAGUCUGACGGAGCAACGCCGCGUGAGUGAUGACGGUCUUCGGAUUGUAAAGCUCUGUCUUCUGGGACGAUAAUGACGGUACCAAAGGAGGAAGCCACGGCUAACUACGUGCCAGCAGCCGCGGUAAUACGUAGGUGGCAAGCGUUGUCCGGAUUUACUGGGCGUAAAGGAUGUGUAGGCGGAUACUUAAGUGAGAUGUGAAAGCCCCGGGCUCAACCUGGGGACUGCAUUCCAAACUGGGUAUCUAGAGUGCAGGAGAGGAAAGCGGAAUUCCUAGUGUAGCGGUGAAAUGCGUAGAGAUUAGGAAGAACAUCAGUGGCGAAGGCGGCUUUCUGGACUGUAACUGACGCUGAGGCAUGAAAGCGUGGGGAGCAAAC
RNAcentral lists this ribosomal RNA (400 nucleotides) under uncultured bacterium. RNAcentral describes it as "bacterial SSU rRNA". It matches the Rfam family "Bacterial small subunit ribosomal RNA", at positions 356 to 773 of the family's 1533-position model. The record is from RNAcentral.